RNAcentral lists this ribosomal RNA (3123 nucleotides) under Mycobacterium tuberculosis TKK_03_0113. RNAcentral describes it as "bacterial LSU rRNA". It matches the Rfam family "Bacterial large subunit ribosomal RNA". The record is from RNAcentral. Lineage: Bacteria; Bacillati; Actinomycetota; Actinomycetes; Mycobacteriales; Mycobacteriaceae.
GUAAGUGUCUAAGGGCGCAUGGUGGAUGCCUUGGCAUCGAGAGCCGAUGAAGGACGUGGGAGGCUGCGAUAUGCCUCGGGGAGCUGUCAACCGAGCGUGGAUCCGAGGAUUUCCGAAUGGGGAAACCCAGCACGAGUGAUGUCGUGCUACCCGCAUCUGAAUAUAUAGGGUGCGGGAGGGAACGCGGGGAAGUGAAACAUCUCAGUACCCGUAGGAGGAGAAAACAAUUGUGAUUCCGCAAGUAGUGGCGAGCGAACGCGGAACAGGCUAAACCGCACGCAUGGGUAACCGGGUAGGGGUUGUGUGUGCGGGGUUGUGGGAGGAUAUGUCUCAGCGCUACCCGGCUGAGAGGCAGUCAGAAAGUGUCGUGGUUAGCGGAAGUGGCCUGGGAUGGUCUGCCGUAGACGGUGAGAGCCCGGUACGCGAAAACCCGGCACCUGCCUAGUAUCAAUUCCCGAGUAGCAGCGGGCCCGUGGAAUCCGCUGUGAAUCCGCCGGGACCACCCGGUAAGCCUAAAUACUCCUCGAUGACCGAUAGCGGAUUAGUACCGUGAGGGAAUGGUGAAAAGUACCCCGGGAGGGGAGUGAAAGAGUACCUGAAACCGUGUGCCUACAAUCCGUCAGAGCCUCCUUUUCCUCUCCGGAGGAGGGUGGUGAUGGCGUGCCUUUUGAAGAAUGAGCCUGCGAGUCAGGGACAUGUCGCAAGGUUAACCCGUGUGGGGUAGCCGCAGCGAAAGCGAGUCUGAAUAGGGCGACCCACACGCGCAUACGCGCGUGUGAAUAGUGGCGUGUUCUGGACCCGAAGCGGAGUGAUCUACCCAUGGCCAGGGUGAAGCGCGGGUAAGACCGCGUGGAGGCCCGAACCCACUUAGGUUGAAGACUGAGGGGAUGAGCUGUGGGUAGGGGUGAAAGGCCAAUCAAACUCCGUGAUAGCUGGUUCUCCCCGAAAUGCAUUUAGGUGCAGCGUUGCGUGGUUCACCGCGGAGGUAGAGCUACUGGAUGGCCGAUGGGCCCUACUAGGUUACUGACGUCAGCCAAACUCCGAAUGCCGUGGUGUAAAGCGUGGCAGUGAGACGGCGGGGGAUAAGCUCCGUACGUCGAAAGGGAAACAGCCCAGAUCGCCGGCUAAGGCCCCCAAGCGUGUGCUAAGUGGGAAAGGAUGUGCAGUCGCAAAGACAACCAGGAGGUUGGCUUAGAAGCAGCCACCCUUGAAAGAGUGCGUAAUAGCUCACUGGUCAAGUGAUUGUGCGCCGAUAAUGUAGCGGGGCUCAAGCACACCGCCGAAGCCGCGGCACAUCCACCUUGUGGUGGGUGUGGGUAGGGGAGCGUCCCUCAUUCAGCGAAGCCACCGGGUGACCGGUGGUGGAGGGUGGGGGAGUGAGAAUGCAGGCAUGAGUAGCGACAAGGCAAGUGAGAACCUUGCCCGCCGAAAGACCAAGGGUUCCUGGGCCAGGCCAGUCCGCCCAGGGUGAGUCGGGACCUAAGGCGAGGCCGACAGGCGUAGUCGAUGGACAACGGGUUGAUAUUCCCGUACCCGUGUGUGGGCGCCCGUGACGAAUCAGCGGUACUAACCACCCAAAACCGGAUCGAUCACUCCCCUUCGGGGGUGUGGAGUUCUGGGGCUGCGUGGGAACUUCGCUGGUAGUAGUCAAGCGAAGGGGUGACGCAGGAAGGUAGCCGUACCAGUCAGUGGUAACACUGGGGCAAGCCGGUAGGGAGAGCGAUAGGCAAAUCCGUCGCUCACUAAUCCUGAGAGGUGACGCAUAGCCGGUUGAGGCGAAUUCGGUGAUCCUCUGCUGCCAAGAAAAGCCUCUAGCGAGCACACACACGGCCCGUACCGCAAACCGACACAGGUAGGCGAGAAGAGAAUUCUAAGGCGCGCGGAAGAACUCUCGUUAAGGAACUCGGCAAAAUGACCCCGUAACUUCGGGAGAAGGGGUGCCCCGGUAGUGUGAAUAGCACGAGGGGGCCGCAGUGAAAAGGCCCAAGCGACUGUUUAGCAAAAACACAGGUCUGUGCGAAGCCGCAAGGCGAAGUAUACGGGCUGACGCCUGCCCGGUGCUGGAAGGUUAAGGGGAGCGGUUAGGGAGCAAUCCCGAAGCUGUGAACCGAAGCCCCAGUAAACGGCGGCCGUAACUAUAACGGUCCUAAGGUAGCGAAAUUCCUUGUCAGGUAAAUUCUGACCCGCACGAAUGGCGUAACGACUUGGGCGCUGUCUCAACGAGAGAUCCGGUGAAAUUUUAAUACCUGUGAAGAUGCAGGUUACCCGCGACAAGACGGAAAGACCCCAGGGAGCUUUACUACAACUUGGUAUUGAUGUUCGGUACGGUUUGUGUAGGAUAGGUGGGAGACUGUGAAACCUCGACGCCAGUUGGGGCGGAGUCGUUGUUGAAAUACCACUCUGAUCGUAUUGGGCAUCUAACCUCGAACCCUGAAUCGGGUUUAGGGACAGUGCCUGGCGGGUAGUUUAACUGGGGCGGUUGCCUCCUAAAAUGUAACGGAGGCGCCCAAAGGUUCCCUCAACCUGGACGGCAAUCAGGUGGCGAGUGCAAAGGCAGAAGGGAGCUUGACUGCGAGACCUACAAGUCGAGCAGGGACGAAAGUCGGGCUUAGUGAUCCGGUGGUACCGCAUGGAAGGGCCAUCGCUCAACGGAUAAAAGCUACCCUGGGGAUAACAGGCUUAUCUCCCCCAAGAGUCCACAUCGACGGGGAGGUUUGGCACCUCGAUGUCGGCUCAUCGCAUCCUGGGGCUGAAGUAGGUCCCAAGGGUUGGGCUGUUCGCCCAUUAAAGCGGUACGCGAGCUGGGUUCAGAACGUCGUGAGACAGUUCGGUCCCUAUCCGCCGCGCGCGUAGGAAAUUUGAGAGGAGCUGUCCUUAGUACGAGAGGACCGGGAUGGACGUACCGCUGGUGCACCAGUUGUUCCGCCAGGAGCAUGGCUGGGUAGCUACGUACGGACGGGAUAAGCGCUGAAAGCAUCUAAGCGUGAAACCCUCCCCAAGAUCAGGUUUCUCACCCACUUGGUGGGAUAAGGCCCCCCGCAGAACACGGGUUCAAUAGGUCAGACCUGGAAGCUCAGUAAUGGGUGUAGGGAACUGGUGCUAACCGGCCGAAAACUUACAACA